Molecule: ribosomal RNA, 706 nt
Filed under: Escherichia coli
Lineage: Bacteria; Pseudomonadati; Pseudomonadota; Gammaproteobacteria; Enterobacterales; Enterobacteriaceae
Description: bacterial LSU rRNA
Rfam family: Bacterial large subunit ribosomal RNA
Source: RNAcentral
GGGUUGCGGACAGUGUCUGGUGGGUAGUUUGACUGGGGCGGUCUCCUCCUAAAGAGUAACGGAGGAGCACGAAGGUUGGCUAAUCCUGGUCGGACAUCAGGAGGUUAGUGCAAUGGCAUAAGCCAGCUUGACUGCGAGCGUGACGGCGCGAGCAGGUGCGAAAGCAGGUCAUAGUGAUCCGGUGGUUCUGAAUGGAAGGGCCAUCGCUCAACGGAUAAAAGGUACUCCGGGGAUAACAGGCUGAUACCGCCCAAGAGUUCAUAUCGACGGCGGUGUUUGGCACCUCGAUGUCGGCUCAUCACAUCCUGGGGCUGAAGUAGGUCCCAAGGGUAUGGCUGUUCGCCAUUUAAAGUGGUACGCGAGCUGGGUUUAGAACGUCGUGAGACAGUUCGGUCCCUAUCUGCCGUGGGCGCUGGAGAACUGAGGGGGGCUGCUCCUAGUACGAGAGGACCGGAGUGGACGCAUCACUGGUGUUCGGGUUGUCAUGCCAAUGGCACUGCCCGGUAGCUAAAUGCGGAAGAGAUAAGUGCUGAAAGCAUCUAAGCACGAAACUUGCCCCGAGAUGAGUUCUCCCUGACUCCUUGAGAGUCCUGAAGGAACGUUGAAGACGACGACGUUGAUAGGCCGGGUGUGUAAGCGCAGCGAUGCGUUGAGCUAACCGGUACUAAUGAACCGUGAGGCUUAACCUUACAACGCCGAAGCUGUU